CCUACGGGGAGCAGCAGUGAGGAAUAUUGGUCAAUGGACGAGAGUCUGAACCAGCCAAGUAGCGUGAAGGCUGACUGCCCUAUGGGUUGUAAACUUCUUUUAUAUGGGAAUAAAAUGUUCCACGUGUGGGAUUUUGUAUGUACCAUAUGAAUAAGGAUCGGCUAACUCCGUGCCAGCAGCCGCGGUAAUACGGAGGAUCCGAGCGUUAGCCGGAUUGAUUGGGUUUAAAGGGAGCGUAGGUGGAUUGUUAAGUCAGUUGUGAAAGUUUGCGGCUCAACCGUAAAAUUGCAGUUGAAACUGGCAGUCUUGAGGACAGUAGAGGUGGGCGGAAUUCGUGGUGUAGCGGUGAAAUGCUUAGAUAUCACGAAGAACUCCGAUUGCGAAGGCAGCUCACUGGACUGCAACUGACACUGAGGCUCGAAAGUGUGGGUAUCAAACAGGAUGAGAUACCCCUGUAGUC
RNAcentral lists this ribosomal RNA (460 nucleotides) under uncultured bacterium. Its description in RNAcentral is "partial 16S ribosomal RNA". It matches the Rfam family "Bacterial small subunit ribosomal RNA", at positions 338 to 795 of the family's 1533-position model. The record is from RNAcentral.